GGACAGGGCAGCCUUUCUUUGUAUUUUCCAUAUUAAUUAUUGAGAAUUUUUUUGGGCGUUACCGGUCUGGUACUUGUUACUUUGUUAGAUUUCAAAACAAAGAAAAGGGAGCGAGCUUCAGGUUUAUGUUUGGAUCAGCUAUAAAUUUUCGGUGAAAAGCAGAAGGGAUGGCGAGUUGUCUAUGGAGGAGUCAUCCCCAACAACUAAUUCAAUAUCGCCAUCACUCCUCCGCCUU
RNAcentral lists this unclassified non-coding RNA (235 nucleotides) under Hevea brasiliensis (rubber tree). The record is from RNAcentral. Lineage: Eukaryota; Viridiplantae; Streptophyta; Magnoliopsida; Malpighiales; Euphorbiaceae.